This 240-nucleotide unclassified non-coding RNA is filed under the name soil metagenome. RNAcentral describes it as "partial contains 5.8S ribosomal RNA, internal transcribed spacer 2, and large subunit ribosomal RNA". The record is from RNAcentral.
AACACUGUUAACCUGCGGUACCUGCGGAGGGAUCAUUAACAAAAAUUUAUAUUGAAUGUUAAUUAUUCACCCAAUUUUAAUGUGAAGUUUUGGUUAAAAGUAUGAUAACUCUGGUAUGGUCAUUUUUUCAGGUGUGAAAAAGUGAGAAUGCCUGCCAGUGGUUUUUAUCUAAUAAACUACUGUUAUAUUUUGUGUGUGUAUUUGUUAUUCUGAUGAAAGUUACUGAUCAAUUUCACCUGA